UACGAGGGGGGCGAGCGUUGUUCGGAAUUAUUGGGCGUAAAGGGUGCGUAGGCGGUUUGGUAAGUCUUGUGUGAAAUCUACAGGCUCAACUUGUAGUCUGCACGAGAAACUGCCGGGCUUGAGUAUGGGAGAGGUGAGUGGAAUUCCUGGUGUAGCGGUGAAAUGCGUAGAUAUCAGGAGGAACACCGGUGGCGAAGGCGGGUCUCUGGGCCGUUACUGACGCUGAGGAGCGAAAGCGUGGGGAGCGAACAGG
Molecule: ribosomal RNA, 253 nt
Filed under: uncultured bacterium
Lineage: Bacteria
Description: partial 16S ribosomal RNA
Rfam family: Bacterial small subunit ribosomal RNA
Source: RNAcentral